CGCGGCCUAUCAGCUUGUUGGUAAGGUAACGGCUUACCAAGGCGACGACGGCUAGCUGGUCUGAGAGGAUGGUCAGCCACACUGGAACUGAGACACGGUCCAGACACCUACGGGUGGCAGCAGUCGAGAAUCAUUCGCAAUGGGCGAAAGCCUGACGGUGCGACGCCGCGUGGAGGAUGAAGGUCUUCGGAUUGUAAACUCCUGUCAUUAGGGAGUAAGUCAGUAGUCGUUAAUAUCGGCUGCUGUUACUAGUACCUGAAGAGGAAGAGACGGCUAACUCUGUGCCAGCAGCCGCGGUAAUACAGAGGUCUCAAGCGUUGUUCGGAUUUACUGGGCGUAAAGCGUGCGUAGGCGGCGAGGUAAGUCAGAUGUGAAAGCUCGGGGCUCAACCCCGAAAAUGCAUCCGAUACUGCCUUGCUAGAGUAAUGGAGGGGGGUCCGGAAUUCACGGUGUAGCAGUGAAAUGCGUAGAUAUCGUGAGGAACACUAGUGGCGAAGGCGAGACCCUGGACAUUUACUGACGCUCAGGCACGAAGGCUAGGGUAGCGAAGCGGAUUAGAUACCCGCGUAGUCCUAGCAGUAAACGGUGCGCGUUUGGUGUGGGAGGAUUCGACCCCUUCCGUGCCGUAGCUAACGCGUUAAACGCCCCGCCUGGGGAGUACGG
Molecule: ribosomal RNA, 663 nt
Filed under: uncultured bacterium
Lineage: Bacteria
Description: bacterial SSU rRNA
Rfam family: Bacterial small subunit ribosomal RNA
Source: RNAcentral